This 1346-nucleotide unclassified non-coding RNA is filed under the name Haliotis rubra (blacklip abalone). Its description in RNAcentral is "transmembrane protein 18-like, transcript variant X1". The record is from RNAcentral. Lineage: Eukaryota; Metazoa; Mollusca; Gastropoda; Lepetellida; Haliotidae.
UGGUUGUCCUUCACUUCCGUUUUAGCCACGUUUCAUUUUAUUAUUAACAACCGUCGAAGAAGAGAAGUAACGAAAAGGAUUGCUAGCAAAACUGGGAAAAGCAAGGCGUGAUGGAGCCGACAAGGACAGACGAAAUCGUGGGGCUAUGGAGCUACCUCCGCUCUAUUGACUGGUCCGAGCGUUGGCUGUGGUGUUUGGGAGGGUUCCACGUGGUGUGUGCCCUGAUGACCUACCUGACCCGACAAGGGGGCCCUGUUCAAGCUGCAUACUUUGUGGUUCUGUUGAUGUUGGUAUACUUUGCUGAAAAUCUGAAUACAAUUGCUGCUGAGAAGUGGAAACAGUUUUCAAAACAGCAAUACUUUGACAGUGGUGGACUCUUCAUAUCUGUAGUGUACUCUGUCCCUCUGCUGAUCAACUGUCUCGUUAUUGUGAUAAUGUGGCUGCUGAUGACAGGGACCAUGAUGGUGAAGAUGAAGAAGAUGAAACUGAAACAACAGGCCAGGAACAAACAGAAAGCAGAGGCAAAGAAGGAAGAGGAGAAGACUAUAGAAGAGAAGAAAGAUGACUAAGUGGAACCUGUGACCAGAGUCAUUUACGUGACAUCUGGGUGUUUCUUAUUGGUGAUAUGCAUGUCUCCUUCUGACCCUGCUUCAUCAUCCAAUGGCAUGAGACAGAGCAACAAGAUUGGGGUCAUGACUCACGGACACGAAGGUGGUCUGUGGAGGAUUUAUAUGACAUCCAGACAUCUUCUGUGGACCUUGUAACCCUGACCUUGUGACUUAGUAACAAGGCUACAUUACCCAAUUGAUCCUUUGACAUGGGAAGAGAUGCUGUGAUGUGAGAGGGUGACUGCCUUUUUCUCACCUACACAUGCGAGUUACCUGCUCAUAUCUUCAGUGGCACAGAUCCAUUGUGUAAUGUGUAUUUUGUACUCUGUGAUGCAACACUGGACACUUGUUGUGAGGAGCAUGAUGGAGGGAUAAUAUCCACAUGCAGGGAGUUCAUUGAGGGAAUUAUUGUAUGUUUUUCAAAGACAUUUCCUAUUUAAUGCCUGGUUGACUUAUUGCAUUGUGUUUGAUACUGAGUGCAGCUUACUGCAAUGAUACUGAAUUAUGGAAAUGUGUGUGGGUGUAUGAGUUACUCUUAUGAAUAUGUGAGAGGGAAUGCAGACAUUGCACAGAUGUUGGGCGAGUGUGAGUGUAUAUGCGAUAUGUGGGUUGUACAGUGUUGGAGCUACUUAUCAGAGUGGUGAUUGUGUCCUUCCUGCAAGGGACCACCCUGAUAUCAGGCACCUGUAUAUUGUGUUGGGUAUCACAGUUGUUUACAUCAAUAAAUUAUACAAGUUA